Molecule: ribosomal RNA, 1332 nt
Filed under: metagenome
Description: bacterial SSU rRNA
Rfam family: Bacterial small subunit ribosomal RNA
Source: RNAcentral
GCAGGGAGCGGCGGACGGGUGCGUAACACAUGGGAAUCUGCCCCAAACUGAGGGAUAACUACUCGAAAGAGUAGCUAAUACCGCAUAUGGUCUUCGGAUUAAAGCCUUCGGGCGGUUUGGGAGGAGCCUGUGGCAGAUUAGUUAGUUGGUGAGGUAACGGCUCACCAAGACGAUGAUCUGUAGCUGGUCUGAGAGGAUGAUCAGCCACACUGGGACUGAGACACGGCCCAGACUCCUACGGGAGGCAGCAGUAGGGAAUUUUCCACAAUGGACGAAAGUCUGAUGGAGCAAUACCGCGUGCAGGAUGACAGCCUUCGGGUCGUAAACUGCUUUUAUACGAGAAGAUUAUGACGGUAUCGUAUGAAUAAGCUUCGGCUAACUCCGUGCAGCAGCCGCGGUCAGACGGAGGAAGCAAGCGUUAUCCGGAGUGACUGGGCGUAAAGAGAUGCGUAGGCGGUAUGUCAAGCGAACAGUGAAAUCUCAAAGCUCAACUUUGAGGCUACUGUUUGAACUGACAUACUAGAGCAUGAUAGGGGAAACUGGAAUUCCUAGUGUAGGAGUGAAAUCCGUAGAUAUUAGGAGGAACACCAAUGGCGAAGGCAGGUUUCUGGAUCAUUGCUGACGCUCAGGCUCGAAAGUGUGGGUAGCGAACGGGAUUAGAUACCCCGGUAGUCCACACCGUAAACGAUGGAUACUAGCUAGUUGGGGGUAUCGACCCCCUCAGCAGCGAAGCUAACGCGUUAAGUAUCCCGCCUGGGGAGUACGGUCGCAAGAUUAAAACUCAAAGGAAUAGACGGGGACCCGCACAAGCGGUGGAGCGUGUUCUUUAAUUGGAUGAUAAGCCAAGAACCUUACCCAGACUUGACAUCCCGAGAAGGACUGCGAAAGCAGACUGUGCUUUAUUGAACUCGGUGACAGGUGCUGCAUGGCCGUCGUCAGCUCGUGUCGUGAGAUGUUUGGUUAAGUCCAUCAACGAGCGCAACCCCUAUGAUUAGUUGGAUUUUUCUAAUCAGACUGCCUCGGUAACGGGGAGGAAGUAGGGGACGACGUCAGGUCAUUAUUGCCCUUAUGUCUGGGGCGAGAAACGCGCUACAAUGGCCGGUACAAAGGGGAGCGAUGUCGCGAGACGGAGCAAAUCCCAUCAAAGCCGGUCUCAGUUCGGAUUGGAGGCUGAAACCCGCCUCCAUGAAGUCGGAAUCGCUAGUAACCGUGGGUCAGAAUACCGCGGUGAAUACGUUCCCGGGUCUUGUACUCACCGCCCGUCAUACCAUGGAAGUCGCCAACACCCGAAAGCUAAUCAUUAAGAUUGGUCCAAGGUGGGGGAGAUGACUG